CAAACUUGGUCAUUUAGAGGAAGUAAAAGUCGUAACAAGGUCUCCGUAGGUGAACCUGCGGAGGGAUCAUUACAAGUUGACCCCGGCCCUCGGGCCGGGAUGUUCACAACCCUUUGUUGUCCGACUCUGUUGCCUCCGGGGCGACCCUGCCUCCGGGCGGGGGCCCCGGGUGGACAUUUCAAACUCUUGCGUAACUUUGCAGUCUGAGUAAAUUUAAUUAAUAAAUUAAAACUUUCAACAACGGAUCUCUUGGUUCUGGCAUCGAUGAAGAACGCAGCGAAAUGCGAUAAGUAAUGUGAAUUGCAGAAUUCAGUGAAUCAUCGAAUCUUUGAACGCACAUUGCGCCCCCUGGUAUUCCGGGGGGCAUGCCUGUUCGAGCGUCAUUUCACCACUCAAGCCUCGCUUGGUAUUGGGCGACGCGGUCCGCCGCGCGCCUCAAAUCGACCGGCUGGGUCUUUCGUCCCCUCAGCGUUGUGGAAACUAUUCGCUAAAGGGUGCCGCGGGAGGCCACGCCGUAAAACAACCCCAUUUCUAAGGUUGACCUCGGAUCAGGUAGGGAUACCCGCUGAACUUAAGCAUAUCAAUAAGCGGAGGA
This 595-nucleotide ribosomal RNA is filed under the name Cladosporium cladosporioides. Its description in RNAcentral is "eukaryotic LSU rRNA". The stretch from base 230 to 383 matches the Rfam family "5.8S ribosomal RNA". The record is from RNAcentral. Lineage: Eukaryota; Fungi; Ascomycota; Dothideomycetes; Cladosporiales; Cladosporiaceae.